AGCGAACGCUGGCGGCGUGCUUAACACAUGCAAGUCGUACGAGAAACAUGUCCUUCGGGGCAUGGAGUAAAGUGGCGCACGGGUGAGUAACACGUGGGUAACCUACCCUGAGGAUCGGGAUAACUGGCCGAAAGGCCCGCUAAUACCGGAUAAGACCACAUGGGCUCUGGCCCAAGAGGUCAAAGUCGGCCUCUCAACGAAGCCGACACCACAGGAUGGGCCCGCGGACCAUUAGCUAGUUGGUGAGGUAACGGCUCACCAAGGCCGAGAUGGUUAGCUGGUCUGAGAGGAUGAUCAGCCACACUGGAACUGAGAUACGGUCCAGACUCCUACGGGAGGCUG
This 342-nucleotide ribosomal RNA is filed under the name uncultured Pseudomonadota bacterium. RNAcentral describes it as "bacterial SSU rRNA". It matches the Rfam family "Bacterial small subunit ribosomal RNA", at positions 29 to 351 of the family's 1533-position model. The record is from RNAcentral. Lineage: Bacteria; Pseudomonadati; Pseudomonadota.